Molecule: non-coding RNA, 179 nt
Organism: Nicotiana tabacum (common tobacco)
Lineage: Eukaryota; Viridiplantae; Streptophyta; Magnoliopsida; Solanales; Solanaceae
Source: RefSeq, a predicted model, not a curated record
UGACGAGAUUCGAAUGGAGAAAAGGCCGGUUGAUGUUCCUGAAUCUCAAUUUAGGGAUCUUCUUAAUUAUUGGAACUCUGAUGCCUACAAGAAAAUGUCCCAAACCAAUACCGAGAAUCGCAAAAAGUUGAAAUAUCCACACACUGCUGGCAAAAGAAGUUUUGCUCGAAUAUGCGAGG